RNAcentral lists this ribosomal RNA (253 nucleotides) under uncultured bacterium. Its description in RNAcentral is "partial 16S ribosomal RNA". It matches the Rfam family "Bacterial small subunit ribosomal RNA", at positions 524 to 776 of the family's 1533-position model. The record is from RNAcentral.
UACGUAGGGGGCAAGCGUUGUCCGGAAUCAUUGGGCGUAAAGAGCGUGUAGGCGGUUCGAUAAGGGGGGUGGGAAAGUCCAGGGCUCAACCCUGGGAUGCCGGUCGAAACUGUCGGACUAGAGUUCGGAAGAGGCGAGUGGAAUUCCCGGUGUAGCGGUGAAAUGCGCAGAUAUCGGGAGGAACACCAAUGGCGAAGGCAGCUCGCUGGGACGUUACUGACGCUGAGACGCGAAAGCGUGGGGAGCGAACAGG